This is a non-coding RNA of Pelobates cultripes (western spadefoot toad), 213 nucleotides long. Lineage: Eukaryota; Metazoa; Chordata; Amphibia; Anura; Pelobatidae. The record is from the annotation of a GenBank genome assembly.
AUAGCAUACACUUUUUUGUAACAAUGCAAGAGUUAAAGUACAGUAAUUAGGCACCUUCUGGUUUGAAAACCAUCCCAAGACUAACUGAAGCAGCAUGACUACUGAACCAAUCUUCUGUGUUGCCAACUGAUACAAGAGUUGAUAGAUGAGUUGACUGGGUACCUUCCAUAGGAAACCCAGACGUCAGUCUUCCCCUGUGGUGGAAAGGUUGAG